RNAcentral lists this ribosomal RNA (253 nucleotides) under uncultured bacterium. RNAcentral's name for it is "partial 16S ribosomal RNA". It matches the Rfam family "Bacterial small subunit ribosomal RNA", at positions 524 to 776 of the family's 1533-position model. The record is from RNAcentral.
UACGAAGGGGGCUAGCGUUGCUCGGAAUUACUGGGCAUAAAGCGCACGUAGGUGGUCCGCUAAGUCGCGUGUGAAAUCCCCCGGCUCAACCGGGGAAUUGCGCGCGAUACUGGCGGGCUAGAGAUCGGGAGGGGUGAGUGGAACUCCAGGUGGAGCGGUGGAAUGCGUAGAUAUCUGGAGGAACACCGGUGGCGAAAGCGACUCACUGGCCCGACACUGACACUGAGGUGCGAAAGCUAGGGUAGCAAACGGG